AGUGAACGCUGGCGGUAGGCCUAACACAUGCAAGUCGAACGGCAGCACAGUAAGAGCUUGCUCUUACGGGUGGCGAGUGGCGGACGGGUGAGGAAUACAUCGGAAUCUACUUUUUCGUGGGGGAUAACGUAGGGAAACUUACGCUAAUACCGCAUACGACCUACGGGUGAAAGUAGGGGAUCUUCGGACCUUGCGCGAUUGAAUGAGCCGAUGUCGGAUUAGCUAGUUGGCGGGGUAAAGGCCCACCAAGGCGACGAUCCGUAGCUGGUCUGAGAGGAUGAUCCGCCACACUGGAACUGAGACACGGUCCAGACUCCUACGGGAGGCAGCAGUGGGGAAUAUUGGACAGUGGGCGCAAGCCUGAUCCAGCCAUACCGCGUGGGUGAAGAAGGCCUUCGGGUUGUAAAGCCCUUUUGUUGGGAAAGAAAAGCAGCAGGUUAAUACCCCGCUGUUCUGACGGUACCCAAAGAAUAAGCACCGGCUAACUUCGU
RNAcentral lists this ribosomal RNA (491 nucleotides) under uncultured bacterium. RNAcentral describes it as "partial 16S ribosomal RNA". It matches the Rfam family "Bacterial small subunit ribosomal RNA", at positions 29 to 506 of the family's 1533-position model. The record is from RNAcentral.